Trifolium pratense (red clover) is the source of this 423-nucleotide long non-coding RNA. RefSeq lists it as uncharacterized. The record is from RefSeq and is a predicted model, not a curated record. NCBI's taxonomy places the organism in Eukaryota, Viridiplantae, Streptophyta, Magnoliopsida, Fabales, Fabaceae. The transcript is spliced from 2 exons.
UCAAGAAUUUUAUAUUAGUUCUUUAACAGUUAAGUAAUCAAUUGAGUGAGUUAAAGGGAUGAACUUCAAGGUGUGUACAACAAAAAAAAAAAAAAAGGAUGAACUCGACACAUUGACGUUCCUUAGAGUCAUUUAACAAUAGAUUUUUUUCUUAUAAAGUGAUAAAAAAAAUUCUAUUUGUUACAUAUACAUACAAAAGAAGAAAAAAUGGCUCGAAGUUUAUUUUGUGCUUUGAUUAUAUUUCUUUCGAUUUUUCUUGUGGUUACUCAUGGCGAUCCCGAAGAACAAAUAGAAUUUGUUAUAAAAGGUGUUCCCUGUGUUAGUACUUUUGAUUGUCCAAUAACUCAUUGCUACCCUCCUUCAACUCCGCAGUGCAUUAAUGAAUAUUGCGGUUGCGUCUAAGUGUAACAAUUAUGUUGAAAA